Molecule: transfer RNA, 66 nt
Filed under: Haematopinus tuberculatus
Lineage: Eukaryota; Metazoa; Arthropoda; Insecta; Psocodea; Haematopinidae
Description: tRNA-Trp
Source: RNAcentral
AGUAAGGUAUGUUAAACAAACAGUUACCGUUCAAAGGUAGAAAUGACUAUUUCAUGUCUCUUACUU